Molecule: small RNA, 2482 nt
Filed under: Histoplasma capsulatum
Lineage: Eukaryota; Fungi; Ascomycota; Eurotiomycetes; Onygenales; Ajellomycetaceae
Also listed under: 1 other name
Description: hypothetical RNA
Source: RNAcentral
AUGCAGGGAAGAGGGAAGAACAGGACCACGAACUGCUGAUGCACAACCGCAGAAUGCCGUGCAAGAGCAUGCGGAUCAGCUGUGGUGGCUGAGCAACCAGGCAGAUGGCCAGACUCACAGUUCACUAGCUGUUGAACUCCCCCGAACUUGUUGAGAGGAGGUUUGCUAACACCAUUAUUGUUUGGUGUCACCGACUAGCUUGGCUGCUCGGACAAAACGAACAAGCUAUGAACUAUGAGCUUGAAGCGAUCCGAGGUCCGAUCAAGCCGCUCAAGCUUGAAAGCAAGCGAUUGAGGGACCGAAAAUCGGCGUAGGCAAAGCGCACAAUAAUGGGACUCGAGUUUCCCAAAGGGGGAAUUCUAUGCAAAAGAAACUAGAAACAUGCAUGGCAGACCUGGAAAUUUCCAAGCUAUCCCAGCCGAUCCUUCUCUAGGUUAAACUCACGGGUGCUAACGCUCAUACGGAACACAGAGGCAACCCUUUUCUGGAAACGCCCCGUCGGUCGGGAUAUAAAACUUCGUGGUAGCACGAUGCCGGUCGUGGAACGAUCCAGCUCCUCUGCAGGUGUCAAUUCGGAGCUUAAAAUCGGAGUGUGGUCGUGUGUGGCGCAAUGGACCCAAGAUAAAUGUCCGAAUGCAGUUUGAGACGGUUGCUUGAGGCACAGUUUAUAUCCAUCAUCAUAUAUCAUACAUAAAGCGUGCAGGACAAUUAGAUGGUAUAGAACGCCUAAAGGACACAACGAUAGAAUCUGAACCUGGAACAAGUUGGAUCAAAGCAUAGAAACCCAAAAAUCACACUACAAUAACAUCGCUCUUUCAAGUCGUCUAACCAACAAUCAAAAGCCUACAAACAUGCAGAAUCAAAGCAUCAAAACCAUCUAACAGAACUCAAUUCAUUGUUUCCGUCUUCAGAAACGGCUGGUCCCUCCCUUCAGACCCAGAUCCCUCCUCAAUAUGCGAGGAAAACCUCCCCACAACUACAUCCGCGCUCUUCCUCGCGUCCUCAUCCUCCAAUAUAAUAGGCGGGCCCGUAAAUGCCUUGCGCGCCCGCACAAAAUACCAAACGACACUGAUCGUCCCAAACCCAGCAAACACCACGCUCGCAUAAUUCAUCGUCGACGGCGUCACAGGUAAGGAGAUUGGCAUGCAAAACAGCGCAAUGGCCAGCGUAAUCCACGAUACCGCUAUCAUAUUGAUAGUGUAGCCGAACUUCCCCAACGAAAAGGGUGCGUUUCUCACAUUCCGCCGCCCGCGGACGACGGAGACGAGAAUCGGCACGCCAUAUGAGGCCGAGAGACAAAUGGUUGCGACACCCGUGAAAGAGUUAAACGCCGCGCUGGAGCCAAAAUAUAUCAGGCCCAGCAGGCAAUCGACAAGGGUAGACAAUAUCAGACCCCAGAGCGGCACGUCGAAACGCCUACUAACUCUGCGCCACAGUCUGGAGCCAGGUAUGGCGCCAUCGCGCGCAAAUGCGUACGUGCAGCGGCUCGCGGCAGUUAGGGCGCCAAUUCCGGCAAAGAGUUGGAUGCCCAGGAUGAGAAAGAGCAGGCCAAAGCCACCGGCAGCGGAGCCGGUCACAGUCUUGAAGAGGAGGCCGAUUGGUUGGCCGUUGGCGACUGCUCGCAGCAGCUCGACGGGCGGGAGCACAAAGAGGACUGGGAGUAUGUAUGAUAGGCCGGUGAUACCAGCUGCUACAACAGAUAGCACAAUGGCUUUAGGCACUUCGCGGUGCGGGUUUUGGGUCUCUUCGCACAUUGCGGCUACCAUCCCAUAGCCAGUCAGGGUGUAUGCAGCUUGGAGUAAGCCGACGAAGAAAGCCCAGCCGCUCGGCCUAUUGGUGGGGAUUAGUGACUGAGAAGGAACGUUUUAAUCUUGCUAUAUAGGAGAGUUCAAGAUGAGGUGGGGAGAGGGGAUGCGUCGGAACGCUCAAGCGCUUACCAGCCGCUCGUCGAAGCGUCAAAGUGUCCAAACACGAAACUGGCAUGGUUCCUUUGUUUCGCCAGGGACAAUAAAGUAACCAUAAUGAUCACAACACUUGCUGCGGUCCAGUAUAUACAGACUUUGUUGAUAAUGUCAAGAUACUUCGCCCCAAAUACAUUUACCAAAGCACAAACCAUCAUCACAGCCCAGAACAUCAAGAUCGUCUGCCAUUGAUUGGGAACAAAAUCCUCUCUCCACAGCGAAAUUGCGCUGAGAAUCAACUGGCCUCCUGAAAAAUUGAUGCUGAGCGUGACAGUCCAGUUGCCCACUAGGGUCAGCCAACCAUCGAUAAAUGACAUCAACGGCGCCCAUUCUUUUGUAGACAACAUUGCGCUCCAAUAGUAUACUCCGCCGGCUGUAGGAUAAACUGAGCAAAUUUCGGCCAGAGACGCCGCGAUUGCGAUGGAGAUGAGCGUGACCAGCACCCAGCCCCAGAGGAUUGUGACGCUGAGUCCAUCUGUCAGGGUGACAUAGAGUGUUGUACUUAGACCGAAAGGAGCGGC